Molecule: ribosomal RNA, 253 nt
Filed under: uncultured bacterium
Lineage: Bacteria
Description: partial 16S ribosomal RNA
Rfam family: Bacterial small subunit ribosomal RNA
Source: RNAcentral
UACGGGGGGGGCAAGCGUUGUUCGGAAUUACUGGGCGUAAAGGGCUCGUAGGUGGCCAACUAAGUCAGACGUGAAAUCCCUCGGCUUAACCGGGGAACUGCGUCUGAUACUGGAUGGCUUGAGUUUGGGAGAGGGACGCGGAAUUCCCGGUGUAGCGGUGAAAUGUGUAGAGAUCGGGAGGAACACCGGUGGCGAAGGCGGGUCUCUGGGCAAUUCCUGACGCUGAGGCGCGAAAGCGUGGGGAGCAAACGGG